GAUUAACGCUAGCGGCAGGCAUAAUACAUGCAAGUUGAACGGCAGCACAGGUAGCACUACUGGGUGGCGAGUGGCGCACGGGUGCGUAACACGUAUGCAACCUACCCUAUACAGGCGAAUAACCUUUAGAAAUGAGGGCUAAUACGCCGUAGUAUUACAGAUGGGCAUCUAUUUGUAAUUAAAGAUUUAUCGGUAUAGGAUGGGCAUGCGUCCCAUUAGUUAGUUGGUAAGGUAACGGCUUACCAAGACGAUGAUGGGUAGGGGAUCUGAGAGGACUUACCCCCACACUGGUACUGAGACACGGACCAGACUCCUACGGGAGGCAGCAGUAAGGAAUAUUGGGCAAUGGCCGCGAGGCUGACCCAGCCAUGCCGCGUGCAGGAAGACGGCCUUAUGGGUUGUAAACUGCUUUUAUACGGGAAUAAUAGAGUGUACGCGUACAUUUAUGCAAGUAUCGUAUGAAUAAGCAUCGGCUAACUCCGU
This 483-nucleotide ribosomal RNA is filed under the name uncultured bacterium. Its description in RNAcentral is "partial 16S ribosomal RNA". It matches the Rfam family "Bacterial small subunit ribosomal RNA", at positions 28 to 506 of the family's 1533-position model. The record is from RNAcentral.